RNAcentral lists this ribosomal RNA (504 nucleotides) under uncultured bacterium. RNAcentral's name for it is "partial 16S ribosomal RNA". It matches the Rfam family "Bacterial small subunit ribosomal RNA", at positions 30 to 523 of the family's 1533-position model. The record is from RNAcentral.
AUUGAACGCUGGCGGCAGGCCUAACACAUGCAAGUCGAACGGUAGCACAGAGAGCUUGCUCUCGGGUGACGAGUGGCGGACGGGUGAGUAACGUCUGGGAAACUGCCCGAUGGAGGGGGAUAACUACUGGAAACGGUAGCUAAUACCGCAUAACGUCGCAAGACCAAAGUGGGGGACCUUCGGGCCUCACACCAUCGGAUGUGCCCAGAUGGGAUUCGCUAGUAGGUGGGGUAAUGGCUCACCUAGGCGACGAUUCCUAGCUGGUCUGAGAGGAUGACCAGCCACACUGGAACUGAGACACGGUCCAGACUCGUACGGGAGGCAGCAGUGGGGAAUAUUGCACAAUGGGCGCAAGCCUGAUGCAGCCAUGCCGCGUGUAUGAAGAAGGCCUUCGGGUUGUAAAGUACUUUCAGCGGGGAGGAAGGCGGUGAAGUUAAUAGCUUCACCGAUUGACGUUACCCGCAGAAGAAGCACCGGCUAACUCCGUGCCAGCCGCCGCUGUAA